This 806-nucleotide ribosomal RNA is filed under the name Salmonella enterica. Its description in RNAcentral is "partial 23S ribosomal RNA". It matches the Rfam family "Bacterial large subunit ribosomal RNA", at positions 830 to 1552 of the family's 2925-position model. Lineage: Bacteria; Pseudomonadati; Pseudomonadota; Gammaproteobacteria; Enterobacterales; Enterobacteriaceae. RNAcentral also lists the same sequence under 1 other name. The record is from RNAcentral.
CAAUCAAACCGGGAGAUAGCUGGUUCUCCCCGAAAGCUAUUUAGGUAGCGCCUCGUGAAUUCAUCUCCGGGGGUAGAGCACUGUUUCGGCUAGGGGGCCAUCCCGGCUUACCAACCCGAUGCAAACUGCGAAUACCGGAGAAUGUUAUCACGGGAGACACACGGCGGGUGCUAACGUCCGUCGUGAAGAGGGAAACAACCCAGACCGCCAGCUAAGGUCCCAAAGUCAUGGUUAAGUGGGAAACGAUGUGGGAAGGCCCAGACAGCCAGGAUGUUGGCUUAGAAGCAGCCAUCAUUUAAAGAAAGCGUAAUAGCUCACUGGUCGAGUCGGCCUGCGCGGAAGAUGUAACGGGGCUAAACCAUGCACCGAAGCUGCGGCAGCGAACGUAUCACCCAAGACAACUUUACGGAGUUGACGAUUGACGGAGCGAAGCGACGUCAAAGCGUUCAUUAAAGUCGAGUUGGCUUAGGGAUACGUUCGUUGGGUAGGGGAGCGUUCUGUAAGCCUGUGAAGGUGUGUCGUGAGGCAUGCUGGAGGUAUCAGAAGUGCGAAUGCUGACAUAAGUAACGAUAAAGCGGGUGAAAAGCCCGCUCGCCGGAAGACCAAGGGUUCCUGUCCAACGUUAAUCGGGGCAGGGUGAGUCGACCCCUAAGGCGAGGCCGAAAGGCGUAGUCGAUGGGAAACGGGUUAAUAUUCCCGUACUUGGUGUUACUGCGAAGGGGGGACGGAGAAGGCUAUGUUGGCCGGGCGACGGUUGUCCCGGUUUAAGCGUGUAGGUGUGUGUUCCAGGUAAAUCCGGUUCACUU